Molecule: long non-coding RNA, 498 nt
Organism: Humulus lupulus (European hop)
Lineage: Eukaryota; Viridiplantae; Streptophyta; Magnoliopsida; Rosales; Cannabaceae
Exons: 3
Source: RefSeq, a predicted model, not a curated record
AGAGCUCAUAGAAUCGGCUAACAAGAAGUUGUGAACAUCUACAGAUUUGUCACAAGCAAAAGUGUUGAGGAAGAUAUCUUGGAGCGAGCUAAGAAAAAGAUGGUUGAUGAUAUUCUCUUCAAAUUCUUGAGAAAUUUGUUUGCUUUAUAGAGUCUAAUAAUGCCUUUUGUUUUCUCUCACAAGUUUUACUUACAUCUCUACAUGUAUCAUUUAGGUUCUUGACCACCUGGUGAUCCAGAAAUUGAAUGCAGAAGGUAGAUUGGAGAAGAAAGAAGCAAAGAAAGGGAGUUAUUUUGACAAGAAUGAGCUUUCAGCUAUCUUGAGAUUUGGAGCAGAGGAACUUUUUAAAGAAGAGAAGAAUGAAGAAGAAAGUAUAUUGAGAUGAUUUCUUUGGAGCAAUUCUUGACAACAUUUGUAGUUGAGGCCUUUAGAAUGGAAGAAUGUAUUUCACUAAUUUUUGUAUACAUUUCUUGUUUUGUAUUUAGUGAUAAAGGAAUC